CCGGGCCGGUCCUCCCAGGGAACAGCCGCGGCAGCUUCUCCGGCUGUCAAUCAGGGGCAGGAAGGAAAGAUCCUUUACGGCCUGUCCUGGUACCUUGUUUUGUCUAGUGUCUGUGAAUAACCCCUGAAGAAGAGAGAGAGCAUACCCUCACCAGUUUUAAACACCGAGAGUCUGCAUUUUUGUGACCUGCAGCAGCCAUCCUCAGCGCCGGAGACUGAUAGCUGAGCGACCACUCCCAGGAGAGACUUUCUGAAUUUGUCAUCUCUUCAGAACGGUGAAAGAGUUUUGU
Long non-coding RNA from Vidua macroura (Pin-tailed whydah), 289 nucleotides. RefSeq lists it as uncharacterized. Lineage: Eukaryota; Metazoa; Chordata; Aves; Passeriformes; Viduidae. The transcript has 3 exons. The record is from RefSeq and is a predicted model, not a curated record.